Long non-coding RNA from Pygocentrus nattereri (red-bellied piranha), 825 nucleotides. RefSeq lists it as uncharacterized. The transcript has 3 exons. Lineage: Eukaryota; Metazoa; Chordata; Actinopteri; Characiformes; Serrasalmidae. The record is from RefSeq and is a predicted model, not a curated record.
UAGAACAGGGCCAACAUUUCACAUCAAGGUCCUGCUGAUCAAAGCACUCUCUCUUUCUGGAAAGAUGUGUUGAGGAUGAAGAAAUGUUCCAGCCCACUAUAUUUAACCCAAAAGAAAAGCUGAAGAGACAGAGCUGGAUGGUAAUUUUUCUUUUUUUGAAAGUCAAAGCUGAUAUAGCAGAACGACCUUGCACAGCCAGCCUUGGUGGGAAAUUGUGCUGCUGAAACCUGUGCUCAGACUCAAGUGUGAACACAGCCAAAGCAACGCAGGAGCAGAGUGAAUGCAGCCUUCCCCAGGGGCUGUGUUUGAAGACCGUAAGGAUAUUCAACCUUUGCGACAACUAGGGAUACUUCAUUUCACCACCUAAUUUCCAGUGCAGAGAAAAGUCUUGAUGCUUGUCUUGAGAGGUGGGUCAAGCCAAGCUGUACUCAAGGCUUUAAGGGCUCAUGGUGCAUUUUUUGGCUUUGUAGGCAGCCAUCAGGGUUUUAGAUCUAACAUAGGCACCCACAGGAAGUCAGGAGAAGAAAUACAGCAGCGGACCGACAUGGGCAAGCUUAACAAGAUUGAAGUCAAGCCAUGUUGCUGCAUCCUGGAUCAAGGAUCAAGUUGUGAGGACCUAAUAGCCCACACAGGAGGACCAGACAGCAGUGAGUUGCAGUAGUAACAAGUUGUUCAGUAAUCUCAAAUAGAUUUGCUUGCCAUCAAUUUAGUAUGUCUAAUUCCUCACACACUUGCCUCAAGUUGUCAAGUAAUUUCAAAUAGACUUGGGUUUUUGGCAUGCGUGCUGUUAUCUACACUGGACAAAAUUACAGACAAAAUACAGAC